CCAGGCUCACUCUCAUUUGUUAAAGUGACGUUGUCAAUAAGAUGGGAAAUUUCACUCUCCGGCAGAAUGGCAGUGGAAUGUGAGUCAGGGCCUGGCACUCCCCACUGUUCUCCCGAGACCGCCAUGUUGGCAACAGAAGUGGUGGAGCUCCCGUGGCUGAUGUCUUUGUGGAGGAGAGCGCUAGAGGAAGAGGACAACUUUCUGUUGAAAUUUGGGAAAUGUUGGUCUUUUAUACUUGCCUUCCCUUUUCUUCCAUCCUUAUCUUCUGCUGAAUGAAACAAAGAACAUUUUAGGUAACAUGUAUCACUUUUUGUAGGCCCUGCCAACACUCAUGUUUGUCUUCAGACAGACAAAUGGAGAAUGUAGAUCUGUUACAUCAUGACAGAAUAUAGUUAUGGACUGCAGAGGUUUGUAACAAAGUGUCUGUGUGAUGAAUAAAUGGUAAACUAUAUUUAUAGGAAUUUCACUGAAGCUUCCCUUUGAGUAUCUAUUACAUCAGCUAAGGAUGUAAUAGUCGUUGUCAAAAAAAAAAUGUCAAUGAGUUACCAUACUUUUACAGUGAGGAUUACCUUAAGUUGUUUCCUAUUCAGAUUUGUACUACACAGAAGCAUGGCAAUAAAAAUAGAACAAGA
Molecule: long non-coding RNA, 632 nt
Organism: Suricata suricatta (meerkat)
Lineage: Eukaryota; Metazoa; Chordata; Mammalia; Carnivora; Herpestidae
Exons: 2
Source: RefSeq, a predicted model, not a curated record